Molecule: ribosomal RNA, 450 nt
Filed under: uncultured bacterium
Lineage: Bacteria
Description: partial 16S ribosomal RNA
Rfam family: Bacterial small subunit ribosomal RNA
Source: RNAcentral
AGCGAACGCUGGCGGCAGGCCUAACACAUGCAAGUCGAACGGAUCCUUCGGGAUUAGUGGCGGACGGGUGAGUAACACGUGGGAACGUGCCCUUUGGUUCGGAACAACCCAGGGAAACUUGAGCUAAUACCGGAUGUGCCCUUCGGGGGAAAGAUUUAUCGCCAUUGGAGCGGCCCGCGUCUGAUUAGCUAGUUGGUGGGGUAAAGGCCCACCAAGGCGACGAUCAGUAGCCGGUCCGAGAGGAUGAUCAGCCACAUUGGGACUUGAGACACGGCCCAAACUCCUACGGGAGGCAGCAGUGGGGAAUCUUGCGCAAUGGGCGAAAGCCUGACGCAGCCAUGCCGCGUGAAUGAUGAAGGUCUUAGGAUUGUAAAAUUCUUUCACCGGGGACGAUAAUGACGGUACCCGGAGAAGAAGCCCCGGCUAACUUCGUGCCAGCCGCCGCCGUAA